UGCGCAGGCGGCCGUGUGUGUCAGGUGUGAAAUCCCGGGGCUUAACCCCGGAACUGCGCCUGAAACUACAUGGCUAGAGUAUUGGAGAGGGUAGCGGAAUUCACGGUGUAGCAGUGAAAUGCGUAGAUAUCGUGAGGAACACCAGAGGCGAAGGCGGCUACCUGGACAAUUACUGACGCUCAGGCACGAAAGCGUGGGGAGCAAAAGGGAUUAGAUACCCCUGUAGUCCACGCCCUAAACGGUGCACACUAGGUCUUGGCGGAUUCGACCCACCAGGGCCCAAGCUAACGCGUUAAGUGUGCCGCCUGAGGACUACGGCCGCAAGGCUAAA
This 331-nucleotide ribosomal RNA is filed under the name uncultured bacterium. Its description in RNAcentral is "bacterial SSU rRNA". It matches the Rfam family "Bacterial small subunit ribosomal RNA", at positions 568 to 898 of the family's 1533-position model. The record is from RNAcentral.